RNAcentral lists this ribosomal RNA (497 nucleotides) under uncultured bacterium. Its description in RNAcentral is "partial 16S ribosomal RNA". It matches the Rfam family "Bacterial small subunit ribosomal RNA", at positions 28 to 507 of the family's 1533-position model. The record is from RNAcentral.
GAUGAACGCUGGCGGCGUGCCUAAUACAUGCAAGUCGAGCGAACAGACGAGGAGCUUGCUUCUCUGACGUUAGCGGCGGACGGGUGAGUAACACGUGGAUAACCUACCUAUAAGACUGGGAUAACUUCGGGAAACCGGAGAUAAUACCGGAUAAUAUAUUGAACCGCAUGGUUCUAUAGUGAAAGCCGGUUUUGCUGUCACUUAUACAUGGAUCCGCGCCGCAUUAGCUAGUUGGUAAGGUAACGGCUUACCAAGGCAACGAUGCGUAGCCGACCUGAGAGGGUGAUCGGCCACACUGGAACUGAGACACGGUCCAGACUCCUACGGGAGGCAGCAGUAGGGAAUCUUCCGCAAUGGGCGAAAGCCUGACGGAGCAACGCCGCGUGAGUGAUGAAGGUCUUCGGAUCGUAAAACUCUGUUAGUAGGGAAGAACAAAUGUGUAAGUAACUAUGCACGUCUUGACGGUACCUAAUCAGAAAGCCACGGCUAACUACGUG